AGAGUUUGACUCCUGGCUCAGGACGAACGCUGGCGGCGUGCUUAACACAUGCAAGUCGAACGAUGAAGCCUAGCUUGCUAGGUGGAUUAGUGGCGAACGGGUGAGUAAUACGUGAGUAACCUACCUUUAACUCUGGGAUAAGCCUGGGAAACUGGGUCUAAUACCGGAUACGACCAAUCUCCGCAUGGGGUGUUGGUGGAAAGCGUUAUGUAGUGGUUAUAGAUGGGCUCACGGCCUAUCAGCUUGUUGGUGAGGUAACGGCUCACCAAGGCGACGACGGGUAGCCGGCCUGAGAGGGUGACCGGCCACACUGGGACUGAGACACGGCCCAGACUCCUACGGGAGGCAGCAGUGGGGAAUAUUGCACAAUGGGCGCAAGCCUGAUGCAGCGACGCCGCGUGAGGGAUGGCGGCCUUCGGGUUGUAAACCUCUGUUAGCAGGGAAGAAGAGAGAUUGACGGUACCUGCAGAGAAAGCGCCGGCUAACUACGUG
This 492-nucleotide ribosomal RNA is filed under the name uncultured Rothia sp. RNAcentral's name for it is "bacterial SSU rRNA". It matches the Rfam family "Bacterial small subunit ribosomal RNA", at positions 8 to 507 of the family's 1533-position model. Lineage: Bacteria; Bacillati; Actinomycetota; Actinomycetes; Micrococcales; Micrococcaceae. The record is from RNAcentral.